GAUGAACGCUGGCGGUAUGCUUAACACAUGCAAGUCGAACGGUCACUUCGGUGAUAGUGGCGGACGGGUGAGUAACGCGUGAGAAUCUGUCUUCAGGUCGGGGGCAACAGUUAGAAAUGACUGCUAAUACCGGAUGUGCCUUUGGGUGAAAGAUUUAUUGCCUGAAAAAGAGCUCGCGUCAGAUUAGCUAGUAGGUGGUGUAAGAGACUACCUAGGCUCCGAUCUGUAGCUGGUCUGAGAGGACGAUCAGCCACACUGGAGCUGAGACACGGUCCAGACUCCUACGGGAGGCAGCAGUGGGGAAUUUUCCGCAAUGGGCGAAAGCCUGACGGAGCAAUACCGCGUGAGGGACGAAGGCUUUUGGGUCGUAAACCUCUUUUCUCAAGGAAGAUGAUGACGGUACUUGAGGAAUAAGCAUCGGCUAACUCUGUG
This 432-nucleotide ribosomal RNA is filed under the name uncultured bacterium. RNAcentral describes it as "partial 16S ribosomal RNA". It matches the Rfam family "Bacterial small subunit ribosomal RNA", at positions 28 to 507 of the family's 1533-position model. The record is from RNAcentral.